Molecule: RNA transcript, 1696 nt
Organism: Malus domestica (apple)
Lineage: Eukaryota; Viridiplantae; Streptophyta; Magnoliopsida; Rosales; Rosaceae
Gene name: trihelix transcription factor GTL1-like
Source: RefSeq, a predicted model, not a curated record
UUUUACCGUGGUCGUUCCCGGGGGCGUGACGUUUAUGGCAGAGUUAACCGGCGGGCGGCAGUUACCGAACUCGGACGCCUUUGGAGAGCACAUAUCCCCGUUCCCUGAGAGCACAUACGACCUUGUGUUCGAGAAUCCGACGCCCGCGGUUCCCUCGCCGCCCCAGAAGCUGCGUCCUGUCAGGGGCAGCGGCGGCAGGUCUCCGAUGGACAGCGGAGGAAAGCUGGAGGAUGUUGGUCCGGCCAAAGUUGGGUCGGGAGACGACGUGGAGGACGAGUCCAGUUCAUCGGCGGAUGAUGAUGAUGAUGAUCGUGACAAGUGUUUAAAAGCACAAGGUGAAGAACCCAUGAAACGGAAGAGAAAGACAAGUGUGAGGAGCGGAAACAGGCUUGAAAUUGAAAGGGUCGAGCUUUUUCUGGAAAGUCUGGUGAAGAAAGUGAUGGAGCAGCAUGAGCAGAUGCAUAAGCAGUUGAUAGAGGUGAUAGAAACGAAUGAGAAAGAGAGAUUAGCAAGAGAAGAAGCCUGGAAGCAGCAGGUGUUAGACAGACUGAAAAGGGAUAAGGAGAUAAGAGCCCAAGAGACAUCUCGCAGCCUUGCGCUCAUUUCCUUUAUCCAGAAUUAUUUGGGCUCUGAAAAUCAAGUCCCCCAACCAUCACCAUCACCAGUACCGGAACAAGCACCCGCACCAGCACUAGCACCAAUACCAUUAUCGGUAGUACCUAAUUAUGAUCAUCAACGGGUGGAAGGAAAUGGAAAGGCAGACAAUGGCAUGCAGGGAGACCUGAUGUUGGUGAGUAGUGAUGCAACGAAUAGAAGAUGGCCAGAAGCUGAAGUACAAGCCCUCAUAACGCUGUGGGCUGCUUUCGAACACAAGUUUCACGUCGCAGGUACUCCAAAAGGGCGCAUAUGGGAGGAGAUAUCUGUUAAGAUGGGAGAAAUGGGCUACGUCCGGUCAGGAAGGAAGUGCAGGGAGAAAUGGGAAAACAUCAACAAGUAUUUCAGAAGGUGCAUGGGACCAGACAGUAAACGUUCUGCAAAUGCCAAGCUUUGUCCAUAUUUUCAUGAAUUGGAGUUGCUCCACAAAAGCGGACUUGUAAGUUUCGGGAAUGGCUUUAACCUCACAAGCAACCAGAAUGAGGCCAAGAUUGAAAAACAGGCGCAAAAGAGUGAAAAAAGGAGUGAUGACGGUAUUCAAGCCUCUUGUGCUUUAGAUAACGGGGAUGCAAGUGAAGGCAAGUUUCAGAGAGAGAGAGAGGGGGAUGAGUUGAGAUGAAUGCUGGGGCUCCCCUGCUCUGCUCUUUGAUGGAUGGCUAAUAUUAUCAAUUAGUGGUUUGAUUGAUGUUUAGGGCUUGCAUUUAGCAGAGGCGUGGUGUUUGCUUUGCUAAUCGAAAGAGGGAGACGAACACAGUCGCAGCCACCCAAAUAGACCCAAUUCCUUGAUCCAUAUUUUCUUCAAAUGUUUAAUUAUGAUACCAGCACUCGAGUAGUGAUGAAUGUUGAGGAAUGGUGGCGGUGGCGGUGCUGCCAUUUGCCAUGCUGGUGUUUAUGUAAUCUGCACGAUGUUUGUCUGUUUAGGGAAACAAAACCAUGCCCUGCCUGACCAGAGUGUAAAGGACAUCGUCGCCCUGCCGGCCGUGGGGUUAAGAGUUACGACGUACUCUUUCACGAAAUUAAAUUAUUAAGUUCACUGUAUAUC